RNAcentral lists this ribosomal RNA (403 nucleotides) under bacterium. Its description in RNAcentral is "partial 16S ribosomal RNA". It matches the Rfam family "Bacterial small subunit ribosomal RNA", at positions 355 to 776 of the family's 1533-position model. The record is from RNAcentral.
UGGGGAAUAUUGCACAAUGGGGGAAACCCUGAUGCAGCGACGCCGCGUGAACGAAGAAGGUAUUCGUAUCGUAAAGUUCUGUCCUAUGGGAAGAUAAUGACAGUACCAUAGAAGAAAGCUCCGGCUAAAUACGUGCCAGCAGCCGCGGUAAUACGUAUGGAGCGAGCGUUGUCCGGAAUUAUUGGGCGUAAAGGGUACGCAGGCGGUUUAAUAAGUCGAAUGUUAAAGAUCGGGGCUCAACCCCGCAAAGCAUUGGAAACUGAUAAACUUGAGUAGUGGAGAGGAAAGUGGAAGUCCUAGUGUAGUGGUGGAAUACGUAGAUAUUAGGAGGAAUACCAGUAGCGAAGGCGACUUUCUGGACACAAACUGACGCUGAGGUACGAAAGCGUGAGGAGCAAGCAGG